RNAcentral lists this ribosomal RNA (253 nucleotides) under uncultured bacterium. RNAcentral describes it as "partial 16S ribosomal RNA". It matches the Rfam family "Bacterial small subunit ribosomal RNA", at positions 524 to 776 of the family's 1533-position model. The record is from RNAcentral.
UACGGGGGGGGCAAGCGUUGUUCGGAAUUACUGGGCGUAAAGCGCACGUAGGCGGAUCAGUCAGUCAGGGGUGAAAUCCCGGGGCUCAACCCCGGAACUGCCUUUGAUACUGCUGGUCUGGAGGAUGGGAGAGGCGAGUGGAAUUCCGAGUGUAGAGGUGAAAUUCGUAGAUAUUCGGAGGAACACCAGUGGCGAAGGCGGCUCGCUGGCCCAUUUCUGACGCUGAGGUGCGAAAGCGUGGGGAGCAAACAGG